Long non-coding RNA from Acanthochromis polyacanthus (spiny chromis), 5022 nucleotides. RefSeq lists it as uncharacterized. The record is from RefSeq and is a predicted model, not a curated record. The transcript has 3 exons. Lineage: Eukaryota; Metazoa; Chordata; Actinopteri; Pomacentridae.
GCUUUGUUUGCUCCACCCAUAGCAACCGAGAAAAACAUACACAGACUGCAGGAAAGUUUCAGCCUGAGACACUGACGGAGAUCCACAGCGGAAAGUUCCAGAAGAACAAUGUGGACGCCUCCUCCUGCUUCCCUCUAGUGUGGGCAACGAUAACUACAUCACCCUGGACUGCACUUACAGAGGCAAAGUUUAACAUUCAAGGCCGUCAGCUAUCAUGCCAGCGCUCCUCUUCCCCCCGCUGCUCCUGUUUCCAUUCGAGUAAAAGCUCCCGGCGUUACUGCAUUAGCGAGACACGGAUUCACCAUUUGACGCUCAUCCACGGCACCAUGUGGAAUCAGAGUCUAUAAAAAGAACAUUCUUCCGCGCAAACAGCUCAAAUCGUUGCAGUUUCAUGCGUGCCAGCGAUGGUUUGAUCGUGUCGACAGGUGAGUCACUUGUAAAGAAAAUCAAAUCUUCCUACUGCAUCGCUGAAUCUGCAGUCGGAAUUAGACAUCAGCACCAUCUCUGCUCCCUCUCUGCAGCGUUACUCAUGUCAGGUGACCCAGCGUUCCCGAAUCCGUAUGACAUUGAUUUAUCCCCGUAAAUAUAGCACUUCCUCGGGAAUAUCGCAGCAAGCAGGAAACAGAUUGGUCAGAAGGUGUGUGCGAUAACAGAGGUGGAAACGGUGAGCAACAGGACAAAUAAUAGAAAGACUGAGAUCUGCAAACAUGUGGGCGACGUGGGACAUAUUACGGAGUGUUGAUGUCGCUGGAAGUCAUCUCAUCCUGUAAUUCAUAUGAGCUCAACAUGCUGUACAGAUAAGGGAAAAGCACAUGAAAGCACACAAACCUAUAAAGAAGAUUAACAAACUGUAGCACGGAGGCUUAGCAAAGUACAAAAAACUAACAAGUUUGCGGUUUUGCAAUCCAAUAUAAUAAGUGUACAACAAGCACAUACUGGUUCAAGUCAUCAUAAUAGUGGUUACAAUGAAACCCAAGGGCUAGUUCCUAAUUCACGCCCAAUUAAAAACAAGCUGCACUCACUGAAGGGCCUUCAUCCCUGAAAGCAUGCUGUGAAAUCAGAGGAGGAAAAAACAGAGGUGUAAAUGAGGGGUUUAGAAGCAGAAAAAAAACCCUGAACUGAGUUUUAUAUCAUUUCUGUAAUAUUUUAUGGUCUAGAUUUUAGUGGCAAAGUGGUCUAACCCACAAUCUAAAUAUAGUGUUACAGUGACGCUUCCAAUAUUAGACCAUUCUUGAAAACAAUAAACUUUGAACCCAUUUUUUCUCAAAAACUACAGAAAGUGGGUUAGAUCACUCUUAUCUAAAAUGCUUCAAACGUGAUCCAAAAUCAUUCAAAAUGUGUCAAAAAUGACUUCAAAAUGAUUGAGAAUUACAGGAAUUUUUCCAGAGAUGAUUUAAAACGAUGAAAAAUUCUUUAGAAUGACAUGAAAAUAGUCUGAAAUGACUGGAAAAUGAUCCAACAUCAGUCAGAAUUUCUCUCAGAUGAUUAAAAAUGAUCCAGAAUGACUGAAAAUUUGCAGAAUGAUACAGAAUUUAGUUCAAGAUGCUUUAAGAAUCAUCCGAAAUGACUCAAAAUUGGUCUAAAAUGACUUGAAAAUCAUCCAAAAUUACAGUAAAAUUGUCAGAAAUGACAAAACUUUUCCCAAAUUGACUUCAAAAUGUACAAAAUGACUCCGGAAUUGUAAAAAAAAAAUACUUAAAUUUGUUCAGAAUGAAGUGAAAAUUGUUUAAAAUGACUGAAAACUUGCAGAAUGAAAUGAGGGGGUUAGAAGCAGAAUGGUCUAACCCACAAAGAAUCUGAACUGAGUUUUAUAUAAUUUCUGUUACAUUUUAUGAUCUAGAGUUCAGUGGCAAAGUGGUCUAACCCACAACCCAAAUACAGCGUUAAAGUGGAAUGUUAGGCCAUUCUUGAAAACAUGGAAGUACAAAGUAGCACAAAAUGGAAAUACUCAAGUAAAUUAAAAGUAGCUUCAAAUUGUUUGUAAGAAUUUUGAAGUUUGAGAUUGGGAAGAGUUAUGAUGGGAAUGAUGUGAGGUCCUCAGACGUCAUGAAAUAAUAAGAUUAAAGCAGCCCUGUUUUCACACAAACGUGGGGCUGAAUGGGUCUGAACACUCUAUCGUCUGUGAAAGAAGCUCCAGUCAGCCGGAAUAACUGAAAUGACCUCAGGGGUAUGCACUGCCUUUGGAGAUCGUUUACAUUUUUAUAACAACUAAUGCGUCUUCGUCAACCUAUGGAGUGAAAUAUUGAACUUUUCUUUAUCUAAUUUGACUCUAGGCAUCAGAAUCAAGAUGCAAAAAAUACAUUCGAUGCAUUUAACAAAAGCUUUAAAAUAACUGCAGUGGAGUAAAAAGUGAACAUGUCUCUGAAAUGUUCAAAAUUGUAUACCAAUACUAAAUAGUAAAUAUACCCAUUAUACUCAUAUAUUCUUGUUUUCAUGUUAUGUAUCUCUAUUUUAUGCUACUUUGUACAUUAGGUUCAUGACAUUUUUGAAAGAAAAUGAUGUUUUUGUGCUAUAGCAGCACUUUGCUAUGCAGAUUGAUUUACAACAAACACAUAUGGUUCAAGUUAACAUAUUGAAAACACAAAACUUUGAAUCCAUUUUUCUCAACAACUACAGAAAGUGCGACCACUCUGCUUCCAAACCCUUCAUUUCAUCCCCCAUCGUCAUACUGUAUUUGCUGUGUGAGGGUUUAAGACCACAGUUUUUGCAGGAGUUUUACUGUAUUACAAUAUUACAAAGCUGGAGAAUUGUCAUUUGAUUCAUGAUUUAACUGGAGAAUUAACGUGAAUUAGUUUACAGCUAGCGAUACAGUCGCUUUGUUGUGCUGUAAAAGUAGUAAAAUGAACAUUUAGGAACUUAAUCCUAAUGUAUACAUAAUGUAAAGCUGCAGUGUUAAAGCUUAAAUCACAAGAUUAGUGAUUAAUACAGAAAGUAAUCUUAGAUAAUAACUCAGUUUAGAUUAUUCAGCUGGUCUGAUAUUACUUGAUGCUGAAGCUGAUCAAACCGCUGCAGUAAAUGAAUCACAUUUCAAGUUAUUACUCCCUAAACGUUGUGCAGUACAAUCAGCUCAAAAGCAUGUCAAAUUGAAUACAUAUAAUAUACAUGCCACUUUAUGAGCUCAGCUUGUCAGCUGUUUUACAAGUCAAUAUCAAACCAGUCUGUCUGCCUUGAGGCUCUAUUUUUGUUUUAGAUACCAACUUAUUACGCUCUGUUGAACAGUCAUUUAUUAAUGCUAAUAACGUCCAUAAUCGCAGGUGAAAAUAAAAUUUAGAUUCCAGGAUUCCAGACUCAUUCCCCUCACUGCAACUGCUUUUAAUCAAUGGCAUGAUGUGCUGCUGCUGGACGGCUAUUUCAGACCGAUGAUGGACUGACUGACAGCAGUUCUGAUGUCUUCUGAGUCACUGUCUGUCCUUAAAGCUCAGCGUCCAAUCAGUCGGCUACUUCUCACCUCCACAGACUGAGUUUAGUCUGUAAAAUAUCACAAAGCUGUUCACAACCAAACCUCAAACCACAUCCUUACUAUACGGGACGAGAGGGCACAGAAGUUUUAUUUUAAGAUGAUUUCUUGUCUUAGUCUGACUUAGAAAAAGCAGAAACGGCAUCAUAAACACCAAAUCAUUUUUAGCUAGAAGUGACACCAUUCAGAAUGUUACUCAAGUAAAAAAAUAUCAACGAAAAUGACGAUUUUUUUAAUGAUCAAAUAAAAUUAUUUGCAAUAGACUUGAUAUGGAUAAAUAAUUGCAGCUCAUCUGACUAUUAUUAAUACUGAUUUAUUGUGGUGUGUAAGUAGAAUUUUAAUGUUUCAGCUGGUCAAAAUGGAGUUAUAUUUUAUUUAUUUCGAAAUAAAAUAUAUUUAUAUUUACAGUUUUCUAUGGAAAAUCAGAAUCUGCAUAGCAACGUGCUGCUAAACCACAAAAAUACAUUAUUUUCUUUUAAAAUGUCAUGAACUUAAUGAACAAAGUAGCAUGAACUAGAGAAAUAUAACAUGAAAACAAGAAUAUAUGACUAUAUUGGGUAUAUUUACUAUUUCAUAUUGGUAUAGCAAGUACAUUUAGAAGGACAAUUUCAGAGGCAAGUGCACUUUUUACUCCACUACAGUUAUGUUAAAGCUUUUGUCUCUCGGUACUUUAAUUAAAAAUAGAAUGAACUCCUAAAGUAUGAUGUAUUAUAUAUAACUACUAAUUAGCAUACAGGGUAAUUAAACUCAUUUUUACCAGCUACACACAGGCAUUACACUGAAACUACACAAAAACAUCAAUAAUUAAAAUCUAUUAAUUGAAUAUAUAUCAUUCUGAAGUAUAUAUCAGCUAAUUCUGAAAUUCUACACAUGAAUGAGAGCUUUUAUUUUGGAACGAUAAGUACUUUAUGCUGUCAGCUAUCAAAUAAAUGCAUUGUGUAUAUUUAUUGCUUCUUGAUUCUGGUGCCUGGAGUCAAAUUAGACAAUGAAAAGUUUAAUAUUUCACUCUGUAGGUUGAUUAAGUGUUAUAGAAAAGUAAAAGAUCUCCUCAGAAGUCUACUUCAAGUUAGUACUUACCCCUGAGGUGUUUUCAGUUAUUCAGGCUGACUGGAGCUUCUUUUAAAGAUGAUGUGAGCAUGUUCAGACCCAUUCAGCCCCAUGUUUACAAUGUUUGUAAUAUAAUGAUGUAUAUAAUAUAUACAUCAUAUAUAAUAAUAUAUCUGAAAAAAAAUCUGAAAUUUUCCUUUGAGCCUAAACCCAAAUUUUUAUAUGUGUGAUUUUGCAUGCAGGACUUUUACUUGCAAAUGAGUAUUUUUGCAUUGCAUAAUGUAGUAUCUUCUUCCUCCACUACUGGUGACCCUGAUAACAACUACAGAUGUAGAUUUGGAGAUUUUUAUUCACAGUAUAUUUUACAUCUUAUCGUGCAUUUUGUAGCUUAGCAUAUUUUUCUAUAUUUAUAUAAUAUUUAAUAAUUUUCUACUGUGGUGGUGGUCACUUUACUGUUUCUGUAUGCUGCUGGAACAUCAGAAUUUCCUUAUGGGGAUCAAUAAAGUGUUUGUCUUCUA